This 1244-nucleotide ribosomal RNA is filed under the name Candidatus Phytoplasma solani. RNAcentral describes it as "bacterial SSU rRNA". It matches the Rfam family "Bacterial small subunit ribosomal RNA", at positions 153 to 1399 of the family's 1533-position model. The record is from RNAcentral. Lineage: Bacteria; Bacillati; Mycoplasmatota; Mollicutes; Acholeplasmatales; Acholeplasmataceae.
GAAACGACUGCUAAGACUGGAUAGGAGAUAAGAAGGCAUCUUUUUAUUUUUAAAAGACCUAGCAAUAGGUAUGCUUAGGGAAGAGCUUGCGUCACAUUAGUUAGUUGGUGGGGUAAUGGCCUACCAAGACGAUGAUGUGUAGCCGGGCUGAGAGGUCGAACGGCCACAUUGGGACUGAGACACGGCCCAAACUCCUACGGGAGGCAGCAGUAAGGAAUUUUCGGCAAUGGAGGAAACUCUGACCGAGCAAUGCCGCGUGAACGAUGAAGUAUUUCGGUACGUAAAGUUCUUUUAUUAGGGAAGAAAAGAUGGUGGAAAAACCAUUAUGACGGUACCUAAUGAAUAAGCCCCGGCUAACUAUGUGCCAGCAGCCGCGGUAAUACAUAGGGGGCAAGCGUUAUCCGGAAUUAUUGGGCGUAAAGGGUGCGUAGGCGGUUAAAUAAGUUUAUGGUCUAAGUGCAACGCUCAACGUUGUGAUGCUAUAAAAACUGUUUAGCUAGAGUUGGAUAGAGGCAAGUGGAAUUCCGUGUGUAGUGGUAAAAUGCGUAAAUAUACGGAGGAACACCAGAAGCGAAGGCGGCUUGCUGGGUCUUAACUGACGCUGAGGCACGAAAGCGUGGGGAGCAAACAGGAUUAGAUACCCUGGUAGUCCACGCCCUAAACGAUGAGUACUAAACGUUGGAUAAAACCAGUGUUGAAGUUAACACAUUAAGUACUCCGCCUGAGUAGUACGUACGCAAGUAUGAAACUUAAAGGAAUUGACGGGACUCCGCACAAGCGGUGGAUCAUGUUGUUUAAUUCGAAGGUACCCGAAAAACCUCACCAGGUCUUGACAUGCUUUUGCAAAGCUGUAGAAAUACAGUGGAGGUUAUCAGAAGCACAGGUGGUGCAUGGUUGUCGUCAGCUCGUGUCGUGAGAUGUUGGGUUAAGUCCCGCAACGAGCGCAACCCUUGUUGUUAAUUGCCAUCAUUAAGUUGGGGACUUUAGCAAGACUGCCAAUGAUAAAUUGGAGGAAGGUGGGGACGACGUCAAAUCAUCAUGCCCCUUAUGACCUGGGCUACAAACGUGAUACAAUGGCUGUUACAAAGGGUAGCUAAAGCGUAAGCUUCUGGCGAAUCUCAAAAAAGCAGUCUCAGUUCGGAUUGAAGUCUGCAACUCGACUUCAUGAAGUUGGAAUCGCUAGUAAUCGCGAAUCAGCACGUCGCGGUGAAUACGUUCUCGGGGUUUGUACACACCGCCCGUCA